GUAGGUGGCGAGCGUUAUCCGGAUUUACUGGGCGUAAAGCGCGUGCAGGCGGUUCCGUAAGUCGGACGUGAAAGCUCCUGGCUUAACUGGGAGAGGCCGUUCGAUACUGCGGGACUUGAGGUCGGGAGAGGGACGUGGAAUUCCCGGUGUAGUGGUGGAAUGCGUAGAUAUCGGGAGGAACACCAGUGGCGAAGGCGGCGUCCUGGCCCGCACCUGACGCUAAGACGCGAAAGCGUGGGUAGCGAACGGGAUUAGAUACCUCGGUAGUCCACGCCGUAAACGGUGGAUACUAGGUGUUGGUGGCUACCGUCAUCAGUGCCCGUAGCUAACGCGUUAAGUAUCCCGCCUGGGGACUACGGCCGCAAGGCUA
This 370-nucleotide ribosomal RNA is filed under the name uncultured organism. RNAcentral describes it as "partial 16S ribosomal RNA". It matches the Rfam family "Bacterial small subunit ribosomal RNA", at positions 527 to 896 of the family's 1533-position model. The record is from RNAcentral.